This 66-nucleotide transfer RNA is filed under the name Acisoma panorpoides. RNAcentral's name for it is "tRNA-Glu". It matches the Rfam family "tRNA". From Rfam's summary of the family: Transfer RNA (tRNA) molecules are approximately 80 nucleotides in length. The record is from RNAcentral. Lineage: Eukaryota; Metazoa; Arthropoda; Insecta; Odonata; Libellulidae.
GUUUAUGUAGUUUAUUUAAAACAUUACAUUUUCAAUGUAAAAAUAAAAAUUAAUUUUUCAUAAAUA